RNAcentral lists this ribosomal RNA (486 nucleotides) under Triticum aestivum (bread wheat). Its description in RNAcentral is "partial small subunit ribosomal RNA". The record is from RNAcentral. Lineage: Eukaryota; Viridiplantae; Streptophyta; Magnoliopsida; Poales; Poaceae.
GGCCCUCGACAUUUGCAGCUAUAUAUUUAUGAUACAGAUGAAAAUUUGUUUCAUAGGGUUAAGAGGUCUCCAAAUCUUAGGUUAGAUCUCAUACGGAAGAUUCUGGCAAUACUAGAGCAUAACCCUUAUGCUCAAGUAUUUAAAAGCCUUGGUGCUGUUCCGAAUCUAGAUGAAUACAGGAUCUCAUUAAAUACCGAUAUCAAGCUUGAUCAACGGAGGUACAAUGCGCCAACAACUUCUCAGGUAGCAGCAAUAUGGGUUGAAGGGAGUGACCCACAAAAGACCUUUGAUAGAAGUGUUAUUGUGUACGGGAAAGGUGAGCGUCCCCUGUAUAUUAGAGCAUACUAUGGUUGCUACGACCCUUUGUCAUAUCCACUAUUCUUCCCACGUGGAGAGAUCGGUUGGAAUCGUUUGAUGCCAUAUAUUGAGGCCGCCGAUGACACAAACCAAUAUUCAGUAGAUGAUUCUGCACGACAAGAACGAUAA